This 464-nucleotide ribosomal RNA is filed under the name uncultured bacterium. RNAcentral describes it as "partial 16S ribosomal RNA". It matches the Rfam family "Bacterial small subunit ribosomal RNA", at positions 28 to 507 of the family's 1533-position model. The record is from RNAcentral.
GACGAACGCUGGCGGCGUGCUUAACACAUGCAAGUCGAACGGUAAGGCCCUUUCGGGGGUACACGAGUGGCGCACGGGUGAGUAACACGUUGUUGAUCUGCCCUGCACUUUGCGAUAAGCCUGGGAAACUGGGUCUAAUACCUGAUAGGACUACGCGAUGCAUGUCGUGUGGUGGAAAGCUUUUGCGGUUUGGGAUGGGCCCGCGGCCUAUCAGCUUGUUGGUGGGGUGAUGGCCUACCAAGGCGACGACGGGUAGCCGGCCUGAGAGGGUGUCCGGCUAAACUGGGACUGCGAUACGGCCCAGACUCCUACGGGAGGCAGCAGUGGGGAAUAUUGCACAAUGGGCGCAAGCCUAAUGCAGCGACGCCGCGUGGGGGAUGACGGCCUUCGGGUUGUAAACCCCUUUGAGAGCAGACGAAGCGUAAGUGACGGUAUGUGAAGAAGAAGCAACGGCCAACUACGUG